Molecule: ribosomal RNA, 497 nt
Filed under: uncultured bacterium
Lineage: Bacteria
Description: partial 16S ribosomal RNA
Rfam family: Bacterial small subunit ribosomal RNA
Source: RNAcentral
GAUGAACGCUGGCGGCGUGCCUAAUACAUGCAAGUCGAGCGAACAGACGAGGAGCUUGCUCCUCUGACGUUAUCUUCUGACGUGUGAGUAACACGUGGAUAACCUACCUAUAUGACUGGGAUAACUUCGGGAAACCGGAGCUAAUACCGGAUAAUAUAUUGAACCGCAUGGUUCAAUAUUUAAAUACGUUUUUUCUGUCUCUUAUAGAUUGAUCCGCGCCGCAUUAGCUAGUUGGUAAGGUAACGGCUUACCAAGGCUACGAUGCGUAGCCGACCUGAGAGGGUGAACGGAAAAACGGGAAAUGAGAAAAGGAAAAGAAGACUAAGGGAGGAAGCAGAAGGGAAUAUGCCGAAAUGGGCGAAAGCAUGACGGAGAAACGCCGCGUGAGGGAUGAAGGAAUGCGGAUCGUAAAACUCUGUUAUUAGGGAAGAACAAAUGUGUAAGUAAAAAUGCACGGAUUGACGGUAAAUAAUAAGAAAGAAACGGAUAACUACGUG